AUCACCUGGAGAUCUUGUUGAAAUGUAGGUUCUGACUCAGCAGGUCUGUGGUAAGGCCUGAGAUUCUGCAUUUCUAACAAACUUCCAGGUGAUGCCAA
Molecule: microRNA precursor, 98 nt
Filed under: Loxodonta africana (African savanna elephant)
Lineage: Eukaryota; Metazoa; Chordata; Mammalia; Proboscidea; Elephantidae
Description: mir-544 microRNA precursor family
Rfam family: mir-544 microRNA precursor family
Source: Rfam by way of RNAcentral